GACACCUGGAAUGGUACAAGCCUUGUUUGUGCUAUUUUCCGCCUGUGGAUUACCAACACCCCGAUUUUGCAAAUGAACUUGAGGUGAGCCAGAUUCCAGUCCUGUCCCCACGCCAUCUGCUAGUGCUCACCUCUCCCCCAAAUAACACAGUAGCUCCCCCCAGACGAGGGACACGAGGAAAAAGCUCUUCAAACCAGGAGCAAAUCCCCUGCCCCAUCUGCCUGACCCAGCACUGGGGCCCCCCUCCCCGACCAGGACGCUGGGCCCAUCCCAGAUCCCACUGCUGCUGUGGGGUCUCCCUCCAGUCUCUCUGGCUCCUGUCCCCUGACCUCCCUUCCACAGCAGAGUCACAGUUGGCAACAGGUAGCAAGAACCCUCAGGACAUUUUUGGUAUCUCUGGGAACUCAUCCAAGGACAGGGUUCAAAUAAAGGGAAACACUCCAGGCAGCAUGUGGCCAUCGACUGACGGGGUUACACUUCAGCGUGGAAGGAGCGUUACUUAAAUAAGCCAGGGCCACUCGACAGGGUGUUAGACAACCACACAGCAGGAUAAGUGCUCAGCACAAUUGCAGGAACACUCCCUGAGGGUCCCUCCUUGACCCAAGUACCGGCUUCAGUGGGAAGGAGACCACCGCCCUGGCCCCUGGAGGCUCCUGUUGAGGGGCCCGUCUGGAAGGCUGGUGAGUAUAGGGAGCCAAUUCCACUCUAGUGGACCAUUUCCCAGCCCCAAAGACUUCCUUCUUCCUCUCCGGCAGCCGGAAGCCCCGAGGCUCACUGGAGUGCCCACAGGAAGGAGUCUACCUGGAGACCGUUGGGCAGCAUGGUGACGUGUCUUCCCCACACAGCCUCUCGGACGGGGGCCGAUGGCUUGCCAAGUGGACUGAGGUGUGCUGCCUUCGGUUCCUCCCCUCCCGCCCCUGGCCAGGCCAUUGAUUCAGAAAGGGCAGUGGACUACCGGGCACUGUGUGUUGGCUUCACUUAAUGGGAGGCGUGGAGACUCCUGUACCAAUGGCGGGCACUCUGACCCACACACGGAAGGCCCAGGGAGGGGACCCUCCCACAACCAAAGGACCCUGAGUCCACAGACACGGGACCCUCUCCGUUCCAGUUCUCCAAAACUGGAGGCAGAGCGGGGAGGAGGUGUGGAAGGCCGGCUGGUGCCUGAGACAGGAUCCCUGCGGCCUGCCCAGCCAUGUUUAUGAAGCCAGCGGCUGGGCCAGUUCUGUCGAGGAGGCAGGUGGACCAACUGUGCUGCCUCUGGGCGCCACACUCAGUGGGGAAGAUGCAGAGAUGCUCCUGACCCAGUGUUUCCUCUCUAAGUCCCCAAAAGAGGAAGCACAGCCCCCAGUCCCCAAGGGGCCCCGCACAGGGCCACCCACGCAGGACAGUAUGUGUGCCCUGUGAGCAAGGGCGCUGUGAUGCCAGGGGACUGGGCAGAUGCAGGAACAGCCCUCAUUGAGGGGGAGGAUUCCCAGAAGAGGUAUGUGAUCUGACAGGCAGGUGACAAGAUGACGCAGCAGGAUCAGGGCCCUGCAGAUGGCGGAUGGCAUAGCAAGCCACACAGGCCCUUCACUGGGAGGGGACGCUGCUUGGGGCAGGAGGACAUAUUGAUUUCUAUUCCCACAGCCACACCUGUGCCUACUGGUCCUGUUCGUAACACGGGCUGUUAGAGACACUGUGACCAGAGCUGGCCAGGAGGGGGGCCUGGCUCUCGUUCUUCCACAUCACUGGGUCCCACUACAGAGAGGCCCAUGUCAACCAUAACAAUAUCUAAGUCUGUCAUUUAUUCAGCACUUGCUGUGUGUCACCCUGUCAUUUAACCUUCGGGGAGCCCAGCAGGUGGGCAUUCUCUUCUCCUUUCUAACAGAUGGGGAAACUGAGUCUGAGAAGUGAAAUACAUGCCCAAGCCCCAGCACUGGAGAGGAACAGAGGAGAGGGGCACCCCAGGCUUCUCAAACCCCAGGCUUGCUCUGGAACCCUCGACAGGUCAUAUACCCAUCUCCCCUGGGGUGUGGGGUGGGCCCCAAUUCAUAAGAAAGCAAGGUGUCCACCGGGUACAGUGGCGCACUCCUAUAAUCCCACAGGCUUGGGAGGCUGAGGCAGGAGGAUGGUGACUUCAAAGCCAGCCUCAGCAAUGGUGAGGCACUAAGCAAUUUGGUGAGACCCUGACUCUAAUAAAAUACAAAAUUGGGCUGGGGAUGUGGCUCAGUGGUCCAGUGCCCCUGAGUUUAAUCCCUGGUACUGGGAGUGAGCGAGAGAGAGAGAGAGGUGGGGGCGGAGGGAGGCCGUAGGUGAAGGUCCUGAGCUGGCAAGCAGCAGAGUCAGGAAGGUGCUGGGACUUAGGAAUCUGAGGCCCAUCACCCCACCAGCCCAGCAGCCCUCCAGGGUUGGACCCUGGGCACCUGGGAAGGCACUCACUGCUGCUGGCUGCUACGGCUCCAGUGUGGGCCUUUCUAGAGCAGGGUACUGAGGAGCUCAUGUGUGCCUCGGCCUCCAGCCACUAUCCCAAGAGCCCCGAAGCACUGACCGUCUGCUGGACCCUGGAGUCUUCUACACAUGAGCCAACAGGAGCAGGGAAGGUGGGCGUGAGGGCGCCCGAGACCCCAGGGCUGUGGGAGUUGUCCCUGGUGCAGGGCAGAGGGGGCGGCGGAGGCAGGGAGCAGCCCGCCGGCUGGACCAUAGCCAUGACCACAGAACCCACCCUUCUAACUUGCCACGGUAUCCCCAGGCUAGGGAGGGGACAGAAGGGCAUCCUGGUGAAGGAGCCUGUCCCAACAGCCCAGGAGAAGGAGCAAGGGCGGGGGGGCUCAAGCCCCUGACGCCUGGUCUUCCCUGCCCAGGUACAAGUGCAGCCUUCCGCCUCGGCACCGGAGGGUCAAAGCUGCCACCCCUGACUCUGCAUGGAUCAACUGUCCAAAAGUCCCCUCAGGCUGUCCUGGGUUUAGCCAUUCUCCUAAUCUUGGCCACGCAGAGAGGAGAGGAGGGCCUGCCAUGCAGGAGGCCUGGGCUCUGGAGAUACUCUGUUUCUUCCCAGUCCAGCUCUCCGGCUAUUGGCUGUGCUCUGUGGGUUAACUGAUGCACCCCCUCUGAGCCUCAGUCCCGUCAUUUGUGAAGCAGGAGAGGGCAGCAGUCGCCCUGGGACGGCUGCGGAGCUGUACCUGCCCGUGUGCAGGGCUGGUGGAAGUGCAGGACCCCAGUCAGCUGGAGUUCAGCCGAGCCUCAGAACCCAGGGCAGAUGUGGGUUAGCCUGGAGCACUGACACCGAGUGCCUUGGAGAAUCCCAGAAGCCCUAAGAGCCAGGGUCUCCAAACCCACUCCAUUAGCCCCAAGUCAGGAAGCCAGGAGUUAAAUCCCCUACUCUGAGCACCAGUAUCCCCCUGAUGGCCCUUCUUCCAGGCCCCUGGGUCUGCUCAGCCCUGCAGGUCCAGAUGCCCAGAGAGACAGCAUUCACAGCUACCCUACAGCCUCCAACCUGGGUGGUGACAGCCAAAGGUGACAGCCAAAGCCCCCUUAUCACAGCCCCACCCCUCAGCGGCACUACCCUUAUCUGGAGCUUGCCUCCUUUGAAAUUCACACCGUUGUAUUAUUUCUCCUCAAAGAGGCCUUCCAAAUUCUAAAAGCUUCAGGCCCUAGAACCAGAACUUCACCUGCACAUGACCUAAUUAAGGUGUCUGUUUUUCCUUUUAAAUCAUGAAGAUUCUGAGGACAUGGCUCUUGUCCUCUGGUGCUCAGCAAAGUGACCACGAGGUGCUCACGGAUGCUCUGAUCGGGAGGAAAUGCCUGAGUUCUGAGUGGCCCUGCCCGUAACUGUGUCUAGGAGAAAACAGGCCUGGCCACAGCCUGCCCACAGGGAAGAGCGUGCCCGGCUGACCUCUGAGCAACGUGUCCCUCUCACCAGCAGUGGGGUCUGGUUCCAGACACCUGACACAGCCCGCCUCACCCACACCUGGCUGUGUCCUCCGCCUGCCCCCUCCCUGCCACUCAGAUGCCUGUGUUUCCUCGUCCCCAGCCCCAGCCCUGGCGAGGAGCUCAGCUCCCUAGGACUCAGUCGGCUUUGAGCAACACUUAUUGAUGACGCAUGAAGGGGCGGCCGCUGGCCCACGCACAUGCUGCCUGCUUCUGCCGGUCCCAGUGGUACAGAUGUGUUAAAGUCAAGGCUCUGCCAGGAAAACCCCAGGGCACAAGAGGAAACGCUCUCACUGGCUCACAGAGAGGAGGGUUCUGGGGCCACGCCCUAACUCUGAGGCAGGGCUCUGCAAACAGAGCUGCAGCCACGCACCCUCUGCCUGGAAAUGCUCAUGACACAUGCAGAGCAUCAUGUGCGUUCACAUGCCGGGUGUCUGCACGCAGCUCCGUGGAGGACUGAAUCGGAGCGACGGAGACCACACACAGGGUUCUGGGAGUGAAGGACGCCGUGUCCCAUGAACACGAUUCAGAUGGCCUUGCCACCAUGAGAGCCAGAGAGACCUGUGGAAAAGCCCUUCUCCACCUUCUGCCCUGCUUUACUCUGAAACUUGGUGUAUUCCCGGGCCUGCAGCUCACAGGCUCACUGUGGGCUGCCAGUGUGACUAGGUGUGCAAGCUGGCACAAGUCAGUCAGUACCCAGGGCCUCGCGUUGCUCAUCCGUUGGCAUCAGCGGUAACAGCACACGACGUGGGGUCUGAGACAGGGCCUGAUCCACAGCUUAAUAAGUGUGGUUUCUGGGGGUGUGCAGUUGGGAAUGGGAAGAUAGCUCAGCCCCAAGACAGGUGUAAAUUUCAAGAAAGUUCUCGGGGCAAACACACGGUUUUAACAUAUAGGUAAGUGAAUUUACAAAUGAUGGAGAUGACGUACAUGGUUAGAUAUGGGAAUGUGGGUAGGCGUGGGCCCUGAGCCUUCCCCCCUACACCCCGAUUCUGUCUGCUCAGAGGGCCUAGAAGCAAUGCCACCCCAGGAGGAACACUCUCCCAGCGGCUGGAUCUUGGUUUCUAGACACCAUUCUCCACUGGAAGGAACCGAGGCUUCUUGACCAAAUGCUGAGUCCUCAGAAAACAAAGGCUGUUUUCAGAUCUAGAUCCACAGGGCACAGAGCAAUAGAGCCUCUUCUCACCAGCGGAGCCUCUGCCUGCCUCUUGCUAAUCCUCGGGCAACCUGAGGAUGAGGAAGCCAGCACCUGUGCCCAGCUGGGGCCUUUGCCCAGACCUGGUGGCCACCUGGAGAUCUCUCUGGUCCCUCUUGGGUCCUUCAAUCAGAUCUUCUGACCCGCCUCUGAUUCUCGUUAUGCACCAGGUGGAACCUCCUAUUGUGCCCCAAGUCCUGUCCCAUCCAGGAUGCUGGGACGCCAGCCAGGUCUUCUGUGUAAGCCUGGUCAUGGGGCCCCUCGGUGGCGUGCUCCCUCACAGCAGGUUCAGGGGCGUGACGGGCAGCCCAUUUUCUGUGCACUGGUCCUUCCUCAGGCUUCCAGGACUCAGAGCCGCCCUGUCCUCCGCUUGUAUCCUUCCUCUCUCCGUUUCCUGAUCUCUCCGCUCGCUCAUGAGCGUGUGGCCUGGCUCACUCCUUCUCAGGAAGGCUUCCCGGGCGUCUGGCCUGCCUGUGACCACAGCAGGCUCCAGCUCCAAGCUCUGCUCUGUCCCCUACACAAAACAAUAAGCCCCAAGGCCCACGUGCCUCGCUUGACGGGCAGAGACCCGGGCUCCCCAAAGGGAUUUUAAGUCAUUCCACUGCCUUCUUGAAGAGACAGGGGUGGAGCAGUUGCCCGGCAGGGGCGGCCCCGUGUUCAAACUCCAGAGCCACGGGGGGCGGGGUGGGGGAGAGAAAGAGGAAGAACGAUUCUCACCAAUGAUCACACAGAAAACAGCCACAGAGGCCCUCUCACCAACCUUGGUGGCCUCCACGGGUACAACUGUGCCGGAGCUGGGUUAGGGACGGGCAGAGGAAAGUGACAGGUCCCAGGGUGAUGACCAUCUUCUCAAGCCAUGUUCUGUGAGGAUGGAAAUGUCCCUGGAUCCUCUCUGACUCAUGUGGUGGCCACCAGUCCCCAUGUGGCUACUGAGCACUUGAAACGUGUGACAGAGAACUGGGUAUUUCACUGCCUUUACUUUUAACUAUUAAAAUUGAAGCAGCCACAGAUGUGGGGGCUUCAUGGGGACAGCUCAGCUCUAGACGGGGUGGGCGCCCUUCCUCUGUCGAGGACCCGAGAGCACCUACGUCAGGCUUGUCCUGGGCCCUGCUGCUGGGCAGUGGAGACCCUGAUGCCUGGACAUGAGACGCGGCGGGCCGGCUGGAUCUCCCUGCUGACAAAUGGUCCCAAACCUCAGUGCCUUCAAACGGCCGGAGUUAGGACUGCUCCUGAUGCUGCGGGUCGGCGGGCCUCUCUCUUGGUCUGGGCAGCUUGGCUGGAGCUCUGUUGCUUUAUUUAUGAAAACCGGCCACGUUUUAAAGCUUUCUCCAAGACACAGCAGACUGCCAUGCCAGACCUCCUCGGGGGUGACAGAACAUUAUUAAAGCAUGUUCCCACCCAGGUGUCCCUAUCAUCUUCUUGAGAACUCGCAAGGACGUCCUUGGAGGAACAGCCAGGCUGCUUAUGACCUUAGCAGAGCUGCAUCGUCCCCGAGGGACAACACAGAGGACAUGCACCUCUUCCACGGGCAGCCCUCUUUACAGAGUGUCUGGCCGAGUUACAGAGACUGAGAAGCAGGGGAACAUCUCCCCUCCUCUGCAACAUAAUCCACAGAAAAAUCUGGAAAGUCGCCUCUCACCAGCACCGGGUGGAGACAGUCGCUUUACUCAGCUGGCUGAGUGACUGUCCACCUCAGGCCCACAGGUAGAGUCGAGCAGGCCCAAGGCAGCACAGACUUGCUGACCACAGCCUGGGAGAUGCCGAGGGCCCCCCGCGGCCACUUGCAGGGGGAAGACCAGCUGAGCACAGAGGGAAGCAGGGACGCAGAAGUCAGCCCUGACGCUGGAUUCAUCCCCGGCCUUUUUGAGACACGACUGUGUAAAGGCAACUGGCCACAGGCUUGUCCCCACCCCACCAACCACUGUCAGGUCACUCAGACUCCAACAAGCACCCCUCUGUUCAUGCUCACCGCAGGCACAGAGAGGGCCUCGGAAGUCCUGCCCAGGAGCUCAGGCGGGCAGAGGACACAGAACGACGCACAGAUGCUCAGGGCACUGGGCGCAGGGAUGAAGGGCAUUCUGGAGAAUGAAGUGUUCUAGCCAGCUUUCCGCCACUCUGACCAGAAGACAUGACAACAUAGAGGAAGAAAAGUUGAUGUGCUCAUGGUUUCCGAGGUCUCAGUUCACACGCGGCCAGCUCCGCUGCUCAGGGCCCAAGACGAGGCAGAACAUCAAGAAUGUAGUGGGGGGGGGGGGCAAAGCAGCUCAGAACACGGCCACCAGGAAACAGUCCUGGCACCUAGGACAAAACAUAAACCCCAGAGAGACGGCCCCCGGGGACCCACCUCCCCCAGCUACACCCUGCCCACCUCUGUCACCUCCCAGUUAAUCCCCACCACGGAUCAGUCCACUGACUGGGUCAAGGCUCUCAUAACCCAAUCGUUUCACCUCUCAUCUUCCUUGCAUCGUCUCACACACGAGCUGCUGGGGUCCCCUCGUGUCCACGCCAUAACACUAAGGAAUGACGAGCUCCGUCCCAAUGGAAGAAGAACGUGAAGAGCCCAUUGCCUUUAUAGCUGCUGCUGGAGUGAGGCACAGGUGACGUGCCAUUGGACAAAAGCAAAAGAUUUAAGGGACGUUUCUCCAAUGAGCAGGUGAAGGUACGAGGUCAGGCCAAGGCCAGAGAGCAAGGGCUCGAGAAGACCAGCUGGCAACAGGAGCAACGCCGUGCCCGUCCUCGGGGGCCCCUCCUCAUGUCCCAGGGUCACCACCCCCAUCAUUCCCACAUUACACGGGUAGCUGAGGCUUGGAGAGCUUUUGAGAGUAAACUCGUCCAGGAUCACAGAGGCAGGGACAGCCAACAACGGCGACGGAGACCAUCGCCGUUCUGUCUGCACCGGAAGUUUCCAGCGUAACACAGCUGCAGUGGCCUCUGCCUCCCCUUCCGACUUGAGCUGGAGUCCAUUUCUCCACCCCACGAAUCUGAGCUUGCUGCGGCCAGUGGCACAAUAGCAAAAUGUGACACAAACAAAGGCUUUUACAAGUGUUCAUGCAUCAAGUUCCCUCUUCUGGCUGAGGAUCAUGCUCCACCACAUUGGGCAGGCCCUAGCCAGCCCCUCAGAGGAUGAGGAACAGCGUGGAGACAGGCCACCAGCUGGCUGAGCCCCCACAUCUGUUUGUGAGGCCAUCAGAAGCAACCGAGCCCAGCCAAGACGCACAGACCACAAGAAAUGCCCACCGACCUCAGAACCACAGCAAUCACAACUGUUUGCUGUGGUAAACCCUGAGGCCUGGGGCUGCUGGGCUGCAGAGAAAGUCAGCUCACGUGACCACCAGUGAUGUCCAUGUCGGGGGCCAUGGCCACAGAGCAUGUUAGGAAGGAGGGUCUGUGCUGGCGACUGGCAAGAGGAGGACUGGGGGCAAGGGCAGGAACAGGAGACUGCAGAGCUCUUUCAGGGGUGGGACCAACAGGCUUAGUGACCGACUGAGCCCAGAUCUGUCUAAAGGCAUCCUCUGGCUCUGGGCCAGGUGUGCUGUUGACUGUACACAGACCUGCUUGGAGCUCACUGGUAGGAGCAGGAGGUUUACAUGGAAGAACUCAGAAGUGGCCACAGUGAAGGCCGGGCAGGUGAGCGUCUGGAAUGGAAGGCCACGGGACCUAGGCUUUCUCAGGCCCUCGCCACUGGAAGGGGAAUGUCAGUGAGGGAAUCACAGGUGGCCUCUAUGCCACCUGCUCCAGGCCAGCCCCUCUCUUAGCAGCAGCCGGAGGGAUCCCACCAAGAGUCCCCAGGCCACAGGUCACCACAUCCCAACCAUUCCCAGGGAGCUUCCAGUUGGGAACAGCCCUGAACGUUCACUGCUGAACCGUCCCUGCAGCCGGCUGAGACACAGGAGCCACACGAGCAAGGAAAUCACCAGGGCCCAUUUUCUGGGAGGGACUUUAUGUGACUUGAAGAGACCACAGAGGAGGAAACCAAGUACCACAAGGUGGUUCCUCCAGAGAGGCGGGCCCUGGGUCACCCCGCCUCAGAGCGGAGCAGUGGACGGGCCGAGGGCUUAGACUCCAGCCUGCACCGAUGGCGGCCUCCUCCCAUGGCGGCCCUUCACCUAUCCCCUUCACUUGUCCCCACCCCACCCACAGCCACAGCUACCAACUCGGGACCUCAGCUGGCACUGCUGAGAAAUGUCUCCCAGCUCCAGCUGGAGCACAGAUUAAAACAAAUUCCAGUCAAACAAA
Marmota monax (woodchuck) is the source of this 9334-nucleotide long non-coding RNA. RefSeq lists it as uncharacterized. NCBI's taxonomy places the organism in Eukaryota, Metazoa, Chordata, Mammalia, Rodentia, Sciuridae. The record is from RefSeq and is a predicted model, not a curated record. The transcript has 2 exons.